RNAcentral lists this ribosomal RNA (382 nucleotides) under uncultured marine Chaetocerotaceae. RNAcentral's name for it is "SSU rRNA". It matches the Rfam family "Eukaryotic small subunit ribosomal RNA", at positions 587 to 972 of the family's 1831-position model. Lineage: Eukaryota; Bacillariophyta; Thalassiosirophyceae; Chaetocerotales; Chaetocerotaceae. The record is from RNAcentral.
AGCUUCAGUAGCGUAUAUUAAAGUUGUUGCAGUUAAAAAGCUCGUAGUCGCAUUUCUGGCGAGAGGAUCCGGUCCGACCUUUUGGUGGGUUCUUGGGUCUCUUUCGCCAUCCUUGAGUGGUCCGUUCUGGCAUUAGGUUGUCGGAGCGUCAGCCGCUCAUCGUUUACUGUGAGAAAAUUAGAGUGUUCAAAGCAGGCUUAUGCCGUUGAAUAUAUUAGCAUGGAAUAAUAAGAUAGGACCUCGGUACUAUUUUGUUGGUUUGCGCACCAAGGUAAUGAUGAACAGGGACAGUUGGGAGUAUUUGUAUUUCGUUGUCAGAGGUGAAAUGCUUAGAUUUACGAAAGACAAACUACUGCGAAAGCAUUUACCAAGGAUGUUUUCA